Molecule: ribosomal RNA, 301 nt
Filed under: uncultured bacterium
Lineage: Bacteria
Description: partial 16S ribosomal RNA
Rfam family: Bacterial small subunit ribosomal RNA
Source: RNAcentral
CAGUAGCCGCGGUAAAACCGAGGUGCCGAGCGUUAGGCGGAAUCACUGGGCGUAAAGCGAGCGCAGGCGGUUAGAUAAGUCUGAAGUUAAAGGCUGUGGCUUAACCAUAGUACGCUUUGGAAACUGUUUAACUUGAGUGCAAGAGGGGAGAGUGGAAUUCCAUGUGUAGCGGUGAAAUGCGUAGAUAUAUGGAGGAACACCGGUGGCGAAAGCGGCUCUCUGGCUUGUAACUGACGCUGAGGCUCGAAAGCGUGGGGAGCAAACAGGAUUAGAUACCCCUGUAGUCCCUGUCUCUUAUACA